This is a long non-coding RNA of Aegilops tauschii subsp. strangulata, 1854 nucleotides long. RefSeq lists it as uncharacterized. NCBI's taxonomy places the organism in Eukaryota, Viridiplantae, Streptophyta, Magnoliopsida, Poales, Poaceae. The record is from RefSeq and is a predicted model, not a curated record.
CCUACCCUGACUACCUUCUCCGGAAAUUGUUGCUCCUAGCUAUGCUGUAGUUAGGAAUAGGAUACAACAAAAUUAUGCUUAUUUAUUCGGCCAUUCCAAACAGAGAAUGCUGUAGUUAGGAUACAACAGAUGAGACAAAGUAAUUACCUCAGUGAAAUUCUCAGAUUUGGUUUUCUCCAGGAACUCAAUAGAUUCAAAUACCCUUUCAAUGUCAAUCGUUGUUCCGAAUUCCAGUAGCUUCCUGUUGUAGUUAAUUCCAAGGACGUGACACAAUGCAUGAAGUUCUGCGAGGGCUGCAAUUCAGAAUAAAUUACAGACGAGUUAGGUGGGGGAUAGGAAGCAACUAACCAAGGGUUUGGUGAUCCAGUUGGGAUUUAAAGUUCCACAUCACAUAGAAAACAAACAUAUAGCCCAAGGGUGAUCCAAUUGUACACGGAGACGUAAGAAAUUUGGGAUAAAGUGCAGAGUUGAUGCGAUUUUAGGUACACAGUUCGAUCGAGGGGAAGAAAGACGGAGAUCAUACCACUAUCAUUUGCUUCAUCGGUGUUCUGCACAGGUACAACCUCAACCUGCUGAGGAUUCUUCUCAGGAAUCGCGUUCCCAUCCGCAUCCCCGUCGUUCUCGGGCGGAUUUGGGCCCCAGGCAGCCCAGGCCAUUGCCUGGGGCGUGGGAAAUUUUCUAGGCCUAGAUUUUUUUAAAAAAGUGUUCGGCCUGGGGCGCAGCCCACUUCCAAGCCCAGGCAGCCCAGGCGAACUGGCCCGGUCGCCCAGGCCGACUCCCUCUGCCCGCACGAACGCGCAACCCUCACCGCCCGCAGAGACGAACCAGCCGCAACCGCCCCUUCUGCUUCUUCCCCCGACUUGACGAACCCUAGGCGCCGCCACCGCCUGCCGUCGGUGCCGCCACUGCCUGCCGUCGUGCCUGCCAGCUCCGUCCGGCAGCGCCCCCGGGCUCCCCCCACCUUCCAGUCUUCGCUCCCUUCUGCUUCUGCGGCGUCCCCGCGUCAGGUUGCGCCGCUGCCGGCUGCUGGCCUGUCCGGCGAGGGCGCGAGGCGGCGACCCCGGCUAGGCAGCUACGGCGGCUAGGGCGCGAGGCUACAUGCUUUUGCAAAUGCUCUUGUGCUGUUGUGCACAUUCAUCCCAGCCAGUAUCCCAGCCACUUGGACUCUACUAAUUCAACUCUGAAGAAGAACAAGGUUAAUGAUAUAAGAGGACUCCAAAACUUGGCCAAGUCAUUAUCUGCACAGGGUUCUGGUCAGUUCUGUAAUGCCAUGAAUAGUAUAAAUUAUGCAUUGAGAAACUGUUUCUGCUUUAACUGGAGAAAUAACUUAAAUGCCAUGAGUGAAUACACAUUCUAUUCAUGACCAUGUAGUCUUCAUGAAGCUGUUGGAUAGCAUAGCAUACCUUAAACCUUGCAGUAGUCAGGGUAAUGAAUCUUCUGUUUGAUCUUUUAAAUCAGCCGUGGCACAGCGCAAAGCUACGAGACAAAUUUCAGUACUUGAAGAAAAAAUUGUGAUUAAAUAGCAGAAGAAGACUUGAUGGCCGUUUGGAAAGAAAUAAAAGCUGCCUUAAUCUAUUACUUGUAUUUUGUUAGCACACCAAGUUAGGUCUUGCAAAAGUUGGCAACAGCUUAAAUUAGUGCUGAAAGAUGGUUAUAAAUGUUCAAAUUAGACCCAUGUUUCUUUCUUUCUUAUGUUACUAUAGGACAAAGCUUUGUGCCGAAUAGGCAGAAAAGGGAAGCCAUGUAUUUGGUGAUACAUGUGGCAGAAUAGCAUAGUGUAGAAGAACCAAGUUCUUUUGUAAGGAAGCAUAACUUCAAAUGAACUGUUUUGAGUAAUUUUUUAUGAUGAUUUUA